RNAcentral lists this long non-coding RNA (1939 nucleotides) under Homo sapiens (human). RNAcentral's name for it is "HSALNT0098813". The record is from RNAcentral. Lineage: Eukaryota; Metazoa; Chordata; Mammalia; Primates; Hominidae.
ACGGGUUGAGCUCUUUCCUGCUGCCUUGAGCCUGAGGCAGGCUAUUCUUCCUGUGCGGCUCCACAGCUUCAGGCCAGCCCCCUCCCCGCUCAAAUCCCUGAGGCAGAGCUCCUCUGAAGAAGACUUCCGAUAUUAGGUUGCCUGGGCCCAGCUUGAAUCAGGCACCCCCAGCCGAGUCGCCCUCCAGGGGAUGGAAUACGGGACUCCCAGCCCCGGAAAACGGAGUCCGCCUGAGCCACGGGACUCGGAUGGAAGGCAAGUGAAGCCUGAUACCUCAGUGCAGAUACGUGGCUGGCUUUGUUGCAGGAUUUUCCUUAGUUUAGCUAAAGACGGGAUCUUGUCCAUCCCAUGGCCAUGAAAAUUUAGGCUCACAGACGCUUUAAAGGGUUCCACACAGGAAGAGGCGGUUCCCAGGUUCCACACAGGAAGAGGCGGUUCCCAGGUUCCACACAGGAAGAGGCGGUUCCCAGGUUCCACACAGGAAGAGGCGGUUCCCAGGUUCCACACAGGAAGAGACGCCCAGGUUCCACACAGGAAGAGGCGGUUCCCAGGUUCCACACAGGAAGAGGCGGUUCCCAGGUUCCACACAGGAAGAGGCGGUUCCCAGGUUCCACACAGGAAGAGACGCCCAGGUUCCACACAGGAAGAGGCGGUUCCCAGGUUCCACACAGGAAGAGGCGGUUCCCAGGUUCCACACAGGAAGAGGCGGGGCGAGGCUCCUCCCUGCUGCAAAGGUACAGGACCACACAACGAGGACAAAAUAAGACGUUUAAAUAUUCGAAAGAGCUGUCUCUACUAUAAUGUAGAUGAUACAUUUAUAAACCUGGAAAACUCACAAGAAUGGACUGUGAAGGUAUUAAAAAUAAUAAGAUAAUCUACUUGGGAGGCUGAGGCAGGAGAAUCACUUGAACCAGGGAGUCGGAGGUUGCAGUGAGCCAAGAUUGUGCCACUGGACUCCAUCCUGGUAACAGAGCAAAAAUAAACAAAUAUAAUAUAAUAUAAUAAUAAAAUUAUACUAAAUGAUGUGAAAGUUUUGGUUAAAUAAUAUAUUUUGUUUUUUAAUACAAUGUCAACACGAAUUUUAAAAAUAUUAUACCAGUUUUAGUACUGUUCUCCCAAAAUUCAGGUCCUUCCUGUAACUUCAGAGUGUGGCUUUAUUAGGAAACAGGGUCAUUGCACAUGUAAUUUAAGAUGUGGUCUUAGUACAGCAGGAUGUGUCCUUAAUCUGACACAACUGGUGUCCUCAUAAGACAAGGACAAGAAACAGAGAAACACCAGGGAAGAUGCUGUGUGAAGGUGGAGACACAGAUUGGAGUGAUGUGUCUGCAGGUCAGAAAACACCAAGGGUUGCCGGCAAAAUCAGAAGCCAAGAGAAAGGCAUGGACCAGAUUCACCCCUAGGACCUUCAGAAAGACCAUGGGCUUCCAGUACCUUCACGUUGGACUCCAGCCUCCAGAACUGUGAGAAAAUACAUUCUUACUGUCUUCAGACGCGCAGUUUGCGGUCAUUUGUUACGGCAGUCUUAGCACACUAAUAAGGAUCUCAGUUCUUCCCAUGUUGGCUACAAGGUUAAUUCGAUCCUGAUCAAAGUCCUAAAAAGGUUUGUUUGGGUUUGAGGUUUUGUGCUUUGACUUGUUGUUCAGUUGGUUGGUUGGUUUUUUGUUUGGUUUAAGAUAGUGUUUUCUAUUUUUUUCCUCUUGUUUUUGCUUUUUUGGAAGGGUAAGAGACUUAAAUGUCAACGUAUCAGAAUGAAAACAGAGUUAGAUCCAGGAAAUUUCUGAAAAAGAGAAGUAACAGAGCAGGACCAGCACUCCCUUCCAGGGAGUGGCCCCGCUGCUGAGAGGGAGGGCCCGGGACAGAAGACGGAGUUCCAAAAUAGGCUAAGUAUAAACGGGGAUUUAGUACACAACGGGGGAGGAAUGUCAAAUCAGUGGGCAAA